RNAcentral lists this ribosomal RNA (843 nucleotides) under Arthrobacter sp. Its description in RNAcentral is "bacterial SSU rRNA". It matches the Rfam family "Bacterial small subunit ribosomal RNA", at positions 23 to 878 of the family's 1533-position model. Lineage: Bacteria; Bacillati; Actinomycetota; Actinomycetes; Micrococcales; Micrococcaceae. The record is from RNAcentral.
UUCUGAGACGCUGCGGCGUGCUUAACACAUGCAAGUCGAACGAUGAUCUCCAGCUUGCUGGGGGGAUUAGUGGCGAACGGGUGAGUAACACGUGAGUAACCUGCCCUUGACUCUGGGAUAAGCCUGGGAAACUGGGUCUAAUACCGGAUAUGACCAUUCCGCGCAUGCGGUGGUGGUGGAAAGCUUUUGCGGUUUUGGAUGGACUCGCGGCCUAUCAGCUUGUUGGUGGGGUAAUGGCCUACCAAGGCGACGACGGGUAGCCGGCCUGAGAGGGUGACCGGCCACACUGGGACUGAGACACGGCCCAGACUCCUACGGGAGGCAGCAGUGGGGAAUAUUGCACAAUGGGCGCAAGCCUGAUGCAGCGACGCCGCGUGAGGGAUGACGGCCUUCGGGUUGUAAACCUCUUUCAGUAGGGAAGAAGCCGCAAGGUGACGGUACCUGCAGAAGAAGCGCCGGCUAACUACGUGCCAGCAGCCGCGGUAAUACGUAGGGCGCAAGCGUUAUCCGGAAUUAUUGGGCGUAAAGAGCUCGUAGGCGGUUUGUCGCGUCUGCUGUGAAAGACCGGGGCUCAACUCCGGUUCUGCAGUGGGUACGGGCAGACUAGAGUGAUGUAGGGGAGACUGGAAUUCCUGGUGUAGCGGUGAAAUGCGCAGAUAUCAGGAGGAACACCGAUGGCGAAGGCAGGUCUCUGGGCAUUAACUGACGCUGAGGAGCGAAAGCAUGGGGAGCGAACAGGAUUAGAUACCCUGGUAGUCCAUGCCGUAAACGUUGGGCACUAGGUGUGGGGGACAUUCCACGUUUUCCGCGCCGUAGCUAACGCAUUAAGUGCCCCGCCUGGAG